UUAUUAUUGUUAACAUACAAUUUUGUCCAAAUAAAUAAAAUUCAUCACAAAAAUAAAUAAAAAAUAAAAAUAAAAAAUAUUAUUUGUUUUAUUGUUUGUACUUUCAAAUUAACUUUCUAACCCUUAACCUAAUAACCCAAAAUCAAACAUUUUUUUUACUUCUUCACCACCUUUUUUCUUUUCACACCGCACUCCACAUCACCCUCUGUGUCACCUUCCACAUCAUCCAUUUUCCCCUUCUACUUUUCUAUCCCAAUUUUAUAUUAAUUUAUAUUUUUAAAUUUUAUUUAUUCCAUUUAACUUUUAAGUUAUAUUUUAUCCACCACUUUUUCCACCAACAUCCAUUUUUUUCGUCUACUUUUUCACACUACUUUUAUAUUAAUUCUCACAUUUACUUUUUUUUAUUCCAUUCACUUUUCUAAAUUAUAUUUUAUUUACCACCUUCUCCACCAACCUUAUUUUAUCAUUUUCUUUGUCUAUUUUCUUCCUCUACUCUUUCACUAACAUUUUAUAUUAUUUUUCUUUACCAACUUUCUCGAACUAAUUUUCCCAUUAACAUUUAUUAUUAUUUUCUCCAUACACUCUCUUCAUCUAAUUUCUCCACCCACUUUUUAUAUUAAUUCUUUCACUUUUUUCCACCAUAACUUUUUCUAUUCGCUUUUUUAUUAUAUUUUAUUUCACCUAAUUUCUCCACCACAACUCUUUUACUUAUUUUAAUAUUUACUUUUUUUAUUAUAUUUUUAUUCAUCUAAUUUUUUUUACCUACUUAUUAUAUUAUUUUUAUUCAUCAACUUUCUCCAUCCAUAACUCUAUAAAUACCCAUACACUUUUUACCCCAUUUUUACACACAAUCACACAAUACACAUCUCUUCUCCCCAAUACCACAUAUCUUUCCACCCACUUCUUGUCUCCCAUAUUAUCACUCUUCAACACACACACACCACAUAUCUUCAGAAACACAUAUCUCUUCUCUCUACACUCUAUCAUCACACACUUCAACACACAUCUUCUCCUUCAUAUCAAUAUCUCCAUCUCUUAAAGCUUCUAUUUUCACUUGCAUUUUGAUCGGACUAUCUUUGUUUUCUCAUCCAGGUUCUUAUCCUUUCACCUCUUCUUUUUAGUUUGAAUUAUCUUAUCAAACUUUGUUUACUACUCCAUAAUUGUUUUUUUUG
Molecule: long non-coding RNA, 1172 nt
Filed under: Vigna radiata
Lineage: Eukaryota; Viridiplantae; Streptophyta; Magnoliopsida; Fabales; Fabaceae
Description: long non-coding RNA (VRAD_LNC017368)
Source: RNAcentral